Molecule: ribosomal RNA, 564 nt
Filed under: uncultured Actinomycetes bacterium
Lineage: Bacteria; Bacillati; Actinomycetota; Actinomycetes
Description: bacterial SSU rRNA
Rfam family: Bacterial small subunit ribosomal RNA
Source: RNAcentral
CCUACGGGAGGCAGCAGUGGGGAAUCUUGCGCAAUGGGCGAAAGCCUGACGCAGCAACGCCGCGUGCGGGAUGAAGGCCUUCGGGUUGUAAACCGCUUUUACCAGGAACGAAAAUGACGGUACCUGGAGAAUAAGGUGCGGCCAACUACGUGCCAGCAGCCGCGGUGACACGUAGGCACCAAGCGUUGUCCGGAUUUAUUGGGCGUAAAGAGCUCGUAGGCGGUUCAGUAAGUCGGGUGUGAAAACUCUGGGCUUAACCCAGAGACGCCACUCGAUACUACUGUGACUAGAGUUCGGUAGGGGAGCAGGGAAUUCCUGGUGUAGCGGUGAAAUGCGCAGAUAUCAGGAGGAACACCGAUGGCGAAGGCACUGCUCUGGGCCGAAACUGACGCUGAGGAGCGAAAGCGUGGGUAGCAAACAGGAUUAGAUACCCUGGUAGUCCACGCCGUAAACGGUGGGCACUAGGUGUGGGUUCCAACCAACGGAAUCCGCGCCGUCGCUAACGCAUUAAGUGCCCCGCCUGGGGAGUACGGCCGCAAGGUUAAAACUCAAAGGAAUUGACGG